Cryptomeria japonica (Japanese cedar) is the source of this 351-nucleotide long non-coding RNA. RefSeq lists it as uncharacterized. The record is from RefSeq and is a predicted model, not a curated record. Lineage: Eukaryota; Viridiplantae; Streptophyta; Pinopsida; Cupressales; Cupressaceae. The transcript has 3 exons.
GGUUACUUAACACAUGGACCCCAGCUGAGCAAUGUCAUUUGGAUCAGUGUCUUCCAAGGAACAUCAUUUGCCCAAAAAAUAAUCUUCCAUACAUGUCCAUUGUAGUCAGCCAGAUGCUCAUAGCUUACAAGAGCACCUUGGAAAAUAGUGGUUCUCAUCUCCACCACCUACACAGAAUUGUGCACAACUUUGUAACAACUCUUCUCAACAGUAGAUAUGCCUUUUAUACUGUUCAAAAAUAUUGUGCGUAAUGGUCCCCAAGGAACCCGGUCAUUCCACCCAUCACAACCUACUUUCAUUGAAGAGCUUAAUGACCAGUGCACAAAAGCACAUUUGGAGACACUUGCCAAA